UGCAGCCGGGGAGCCAGCGGUGCCCUGUACCUGCAAUCCGCUACAGCAGGGGUGAUGCCGAACCGAGGCUCUUUUUCUGUGGAGCUGCCGCAUAUAAGUGGCGUUGAAGUCUGGGUCUUACGCAAUGGAAAUCUGUGAACCGUGUCAGGUCAGGAAUGAAGCAGCACUAAGCAGAACCUUUCAUGUGCCGUGAGGGUGCCUGGGCCGAGUUAACUGUAUGUGUACCGUCCAUGGGGGAGCUGUCGAAGGGAGGCGCGCG
Molecule: signal recognition particle RNA, 259 nt
Filed under: pig gut metagenome
Description: Bacterial large signal recognition particle RNA
Rfam family: Bacterial large signal recognition particle RNA
About the family: The signal recognition particle (SRP) is a universally conserved ribonucleoprotein involved in the co-translational targeting of proteins to membranes. Archaeal SRP consists of a 7S RNA and homologues of the eukaryotic SRP19 and SRP54 proteins. In most bacteria, the SRP consists of a 4.5S RNA and the Ffh protein (a homologue of the eukaryotic SRP54 protein).
Source: RNAcentral